This is a long non-coding RNA of Hyaena hyaena (striped hyena), 1197 nucleotides long. RefSeq lists it as uncharacterized. The record is from RefSeq and is a predicted model, not a curated record. The transcript is spliced from 3 exons. NCBI's taxonomy places the organism in Eukaryota, Metazoa, Chordata, Mammalia, Carnivora, Hyaenidae.
GAAAGAUCAUUGUUGCAAUUGUAGUACCCGCUUCCUGACUCAGAAAACUAACCACGAGGACACGUACACCAGUCCAAAAAGACCCAAGAAUACGACCCUGGAAAGAGAACGUACAAAGAGAGCCUCACAAUGAGUAGCAGGGAGUCUGAGGCCCGAGCCACGCGGCGGUCAGGAACAACGGAAUGGAUUCCAGUAGAGCCACAGAAUCAAAGCAACACCUGAGAGACUUGGUGUUGCCCACCACGCAUUGAACUUGGAAAACAACAAGAGGGAUAAUGAGCCGCCGUUCACUGGGUACCCAGCAGGUGCCCACUCCUCACACAUGUGAUCUCUGGAGCACCCACAACCCGCAUACCAGGACUUUGCGAUGCUCUUGAUUGCCGAAAAGCCGUAUGUAGGGAAGGCUGGAGCCAAAGGCUUCGGGAACCAUUCCAGCAUUAGGACCCUGCACGGAUGACAGAGCUGAGACCACGAGAUCCUUGCCCCCUCUGGGGAUCAGCCCCCUCUCCCCUGAGACGAGCUGCCAGGCCACUAAACGCACAGCACAUUGAUCUGCGUCCCAAAGGCUGCUUGUGUUCUCGCUUCCACUGGGAAACUCUCAAUGACUUCCUUCAUUUGGUCUUCAAGCUUGUCAGAAAGCAGGUGCUGCUCAAAUGUGACAGCUGCUCUAAAGGGCUGCUCACAGCAAGCUCCCUGACCAGUGGGAACAUUUGCAACGAUGACAGAAGAGGCCUUGGGUGAUGAGACAGCAGCAAGACAAAGAGAAGAGGGCAGCAAAGGAUGUCACCGGUAAAAUGGCCCCAGGGAAACCACAGGGGACCCGAGCUGGAAAAUACCCACAGCCUCGCGCCUUUCUCUGGACUGUGUAACUUUGGGAAGCUUUAAUCUGGGGAAGACCUGACUCCUCAUCCACCUGCCAUAGAGGAGUGCAAAGUAAGGCUGGGAGCUAAAACUGGCUGAGGAAAGCCGUCUGUCCAUCAAGCUUUGGUUUCUCUCCAUUUGAGAAGUCUUCCUUCCCUGGCUCUUGAGCUUGUAAAUUGUGUAAAAUACUGUUCUGGGCUUAAUAUAAGUUCUCUGCUUUGCAUGACAUUUAUAUUCUUGAAAAAUGUAGUGUACAAAUCAAAUCAAAUUUUGCCUGCCAGAGAAGCUGGCUUUUCAAAAUAAAUCUGAGGUCAAUCCUAUGUUUCAAGAGACGAA